UAGGGAAUAUUGGUUAAUGGGCGAAAGCCCGAACCAGCAACGCCGCGUGUGCGAUGAAGGCCUUCGGGUCGUAAAGCACUUUUAAAGAGGAAGAGGAAGGACGGUACUCUUUGAAUAAGCUUCGGCUAACUACGUGCCAGCAGCCGCGGUAAUACGGAGGGUGCGAGCGUUAUCCGGAUUUACUGGGUUUAAAGGGUGCGUAGGUGGGCUUAUAAGUCAGUGGUGAAAUCUCCGAGCUUAACUUGGAAACUGCCGUUGGUACUAUAGGUCUUGAAUUAUCUGGAGGUAAGCGGAAUAUGUCAUGUAGCGGUGAAAUGCUUAGAUAUGACAUAGAACACCAAUUGCGAAGGCAGCUUACUACAUAUAAAUUGACGCUGAGGCACGAAAGCGUGGGGAUCAAACA
RNAcentral lists this ribosomal RNA (403 nucleotides) under uncultured bacterium. Its description in RNAcentral is "bacterial SSU rRNA". It matches the Rfam family "Bacterial small subunit ribosomal RNA", at positions 355 to 774 of the family's 1533-position model. The record is from RNAcentral.